This 406-nucleotide ribosomal RNA is filed under the name uncultured bacterium. RNAcentral describes it as "bacterial SSU rRNA". It matches the Rfam family "Bacterial small subunit ribosomal RNA", at positions 354 to 777 of the family's 1533-position model. The record is from RNAcentral.
GUGAGGGAUAUUGCACAAUGGGCGCAAGCCUGAUGCAGCGACGCCGCGUGAGGGAAGACGGUCCUCUGGAUUGUAAACCUCUGUCUUAUGGGACGAAAAUGACGGUACCAUAGGAGGAAGCCCCGGCUAACUACGUGCCAGCAGCCGCGGUAAUACGUAGGGGGCGAGCGUUGUCCGGAAUUACUGGGUGUAAAGGGAGCGUAGGCGGGAAGGUAAGUCUGUUGUGAAAUCUAUCGGCUCAACCGAUAGCUGCGGCAGAAACUGCCAUUCUUGAGUGGAGUAGAGGCAGGCGGAAUUCCUAGUGUAGCGGUGAAAUGCGUAGAUAUUAGGAGGAACACCAGUGGCGAAGGCGGCCUGCUGGGCUUUUACUGACGCUGAGGCUCGAAAGUGCGGGGAGCAAACAGGA